RNAcentral lists this long non-coding RNA (433 nucleotides) under Anas platyrhynchos platyrhynchos (common mallard). RNAcentral describes it as "lncRNA (ENSAPLG00000029810.1)". The record is from RNAcentral. Lineage: Eukaryota; Metazoa; Chordata; Aves; Anseriformes; Anatidae.
AUGUCUCCACACCCGUGUGCUGUCCGUCCACCUCCCGGGACGUGCUUGGCUCUGCUCUGCGGGGCUGUCGGUUCCAGCGCGGCCGCCCUUCGGGGACUCGCAGGAGCACUGCAGCAAAUCAUCCUACAUGCAAGGCUGACCUCCGGGAGGCUAACAAAUUGGGGUGAGCCAGCUGGAGCGAGAGGACACCGCCGGCACACUCGGAGCAUGCUCAGACCUGGGGGAGAAAGCAGGGGAAGAAGAGGAGUGGGGAGUGCUCGUUCCCGUGCAAAACGUAGCUUUAAGGUGUCUUCUUUUGUCCUUUUCUCCUGUGAAAGAGGGGCAGCAGCGGAUAGCCUUUCCUUUUAUUUAGCAACACCAGGUCUUUGCCUCCACCAUGCCAAGGAGUGCUGAUGAUGUGCUCCCUCCCCGUCGCCUUCCCCGCCUGUCGUCC